Molecule: long non-coding RNA, 1147 nt
Organism: Planococcus citri (citrus mealybug)
Lineage: Eukaryota; Metazoa; Arthropoda; Insecta; Hemiptera; Pseudococcidae
Exons: 2
Source: RefSeq, a predicted model, not a curated record
UGAAAAUUAUACGUUUCUCUUUCUCAAGAAUUUAAUAUUGAGGACUGAGGUGAUAAAAAGACACAUGGUGAUAACAGUCGGUCAAUGUUUUCGGAUUGGUUCGUCUAGAAUCGGAUAACUUCGGUUUCAUUUUCAUCCGGCGAUGAUUUUGAUAUCAAAUGAAGCACUGUUCGAAUGUCUUUGGAAAGUAAGCUACUACGAGUAAAUCAAUGGACGAAAUGAAAACACUUCAAAUAUUCCUAGAAAAUGUCCAUGAUUUUUCAGGAAAUGCUCUACUCGAAAUUGCAGAACUUCAAGCAAACAGAAAACGUCGAAUAAUUUUCAUCUGAAAGACUGAAACACAGAUCUACCAGUCGAAAUCAACGUGUAAAAAAUAACAAAACGUAAUCAAGUAAGAACACGAAUCAUUUUAAUACAAAAAAAGAAAAAGAAAAAUAUUUCUAUAAAAUUUUAACAUAAUAAUAAUAAUAAUACGCGAAAGACACCUUAAAUAGAGAAAGAAAAACAAACGUGACAAAAUACAAUUCACGAUCCAUCUUUAGAAAUAACCUCGCACAAGGCACUAAUAGUGGACGAAUCGCUUUCCACUUUAUUAGCAGCGCAUUUCUUCAUACGAUCGACGUAGAAAUCAACGAGAUCGUUUUUCACGUAUUUACUGGCGAUGUUUCGAAAUAUAGAUAUGUCUUCUUCCAAAGUAGACUUUUCGCUGUUAUAAGGAGACGUGUAUCUUUUGAUGUCGUUUUCCAAAUUCGUUAUGUUCUGUUUGAGAUUAUCUAUCGUUUCGGAUUUACUCUUUAAACAUUCUUCCAAUUCGAUCAGGACUUCUUCGUUGUCGUUCAUUUCAUCGUGCAGGGUAUCUUUUUCAGGCUGAGCUGCCGCAGGAGUCUGCGAAUAAAUUACGGUGUAGAUUGGUUAGUUUUAAUAUUAUUAUGGUUUUAUAUUGUUGGAGAAAAGAUGAUUUUACUCACUUGUUUUCGCGGUUUACUCAUUGUCUCGAUAACAUGGAAGGAGUUUCCCAACGAUGAAUGAAUAAACUGGUAAUAUCUUAGCGUUGGGAAAUGAAUUUUCGAAGAAAUAGACGAAAAAUAACGAGAUGAAGAGCUUGAAUUUGAAUUAAAUCGAGUGUUUUUCAAAUUCAAAAUGAAAA